Molecule: transfer RNA, 72 nt
Filed under: Camelus bactrianus (Bactrian camel)
Lineage: Eukaryota; Metazoa; Chordata; Mammalia; Artiodactyla; Camelidae
Also listed under: 2 other names
Rfam family: tRNA
About the family: Transfer RNA (tRNA) molecules are approximately 80 nucleotides in length. Their secondary structure includes four short double-helical elements and three loops (D, anti-codon, and T loops).
Source: Rfam by way of RNAcentral
AAGGGUAUGGCUUAGUGGUAGAGCACAUGCUUGGGAUGCAGGAGGUCCUGUGUUCAAUUCCCAGUACCUCCA